This 468-nucleotide ribosomal RNA is filed under the name uncultured bacterium. RNAcentral describes it as "partial 16S ribosomal RNA". It matches the Rfam family "Bacterial small subunit ribosomal RNA", at positions 28 to 507 of the family's 1533-position model. The record is from RNAcentral.
GACGAACGCUGGCGGCGCGCCUAACACAUGCAAGUCGAACGGAGCUGAGAGAAGCUUGCUUUUCUUAGCUUAGUGGCGAACGGGUGUGUAACGCGUGAGUAACCUGCCCUGGAGUGGGGGACAACAGUUGGAAACGACUGCUAAUACCGCAUAAGCCCACGAUCCGGCAUCGGAUUGAGGGAAAAGGAUUUAUUCGCUUCAGGAUGGACUCGCGUCCAAUUAGCUAGUUGGUGAGGUAACGGCCCACCAAGGCGACGAUUGGUAGCCGGACUGAGAGGUUGAACGGCCACAUUGGGACUGAGACACGGCCCAGACUCCUACGGGAGGCAGCAGUGGGGGAUAUUGCACAAUGGGGGAAACCCUGAUGCAGCGACGCCGCGUGGAGGAAGAAGGUUUUCGGAUUGUAAACUCCUGUCGUUAGGGACGAUAAUGACGGUACCUAACAAGAAAGCACCGGCUAACUACGUG